UGCAAACCAAAGCUGGCGACCGGCGCACGGGUGAGUAACACGUAUCCAACCUGCCUCAUACUCGGGGAUAGCCUUUCGAAAGAAAGAUUAAUAUCCGAUAGCAUAUAUUUCCCGCAUGGGUUUUAUAUUAAAGAAAUUCGGUAUGAGAUGGGGAUGCGUUCCAUUAGUUUGUUGGCGGGGUAACGGCCCACCAAGACUACGAUGGAUAGGGGUUCUGAGAGGAAGGUCCCCCACAUUGGAACUGAGACACGGUCCAAACUCCUACGGGAGGCAGCAGUGAGGAAUAUUGGUCAAUGGACGCGAGUCUGAACCAGCCAAGUAGCGUGAAGGAUGACUGCCCUAUGGGUUGUAAACUUCUUUUAUAUGGGAAUAAAGUGGUCCACGUGUGGAUUUUUGUAUGUACCAUAUGAAUAAGGAUCGGCUAACUCCGUGCCAGCAGCCGCGGUAAUACGGAGGAUCCGAGCGUUAUCCGGAUUUAUUGGGUUUAAAGGGAGCGUAGGCGGAUUGUUAAGUCAGUUGUGAAAGUUUGCGGCUCAACCGUAAAAUUGCAGUUGAUACUGGCAGUCUUGAGUGCAGUAGAGGUGGGCGGAAUUCGUGGUGUAGCGGUGAAAUGCUUAGAUAUCACGAAGAACUCCGAUUGCGAA
RNAcentral lists this ribosomal RNA (644 nucleotides) under uncultured Bacteroidales bacterium. RNAcentral's name for it is "bacterial SSU rRNA". It matches the Rfam family "Bacterial small subunit ribosomal RNA", at positions 73 to 719 of the family's 1533-position model. The record is from RNAcentral. Lineage: Bacteria; Pseudomonadati; Bacteroidota; Bacteroidia; Bacteroidales.